Molecule: ribosomal RNA, 253 nt
Filed under: uncultured bacterium
Lineage: Bacteria
Description: partial 16S ribosomal RNA
Rfam family: Bacterial small subunit ribosomal RNA
Source: RNAcentral
UACGGAGGGUGCAAGCGUUGUCCGGAAUCACUGGGCGUAAAGGGCGCGUAGGCGGCUCGGUAAGUAGGGGGUGAAAUCCUGCGGCUCAACCGCAGGGCUGCCUUCUAAACUGUCGAGCUCGAGCACGGUAGAGGCAGAUGGAAUUCCCGGUGUAGCGGUGGAAUGCGUAGAGAUCGGGAAGAACAUCAGUGGCGAAGGCGGUCUGCUGGGCCGGUGCUGACGCUGAGGCGCGACAGCGUGGGGAGCAAACAGG